GAGCGGGAGAGGCUGGAGCACAGACGCCUCUCCCAAGGCCACAGAUGGCUACGGCCGGCUCCAGGCCCUGGGGGAGGAGGGAGGCAGGGAGAAGGGGGUGGCGAUGCUGUGGGUCAGCCCCAAGUUCCUGGGCCAGAUGCCAGUGCCAGCCUCUGAAGGUAGAAGGUCCAGGGGCUCUGAACUAUGCAGUCAGUGCUCCCCCAGAGGGGAGGGCACCCCCCUCUCUCAGGGAUGACACCAGGCUCCCAGGGACAGGGUUGUCUAGUGACGGGCUGGCUCCUGGAGCAGUUUCCCUGGACAUUCUGCUCUGAACCCUGGAGCAGAGGGGGCACGAGACAUUCACCCGGCCGGCCAGAGCAGGAGGUCUCAGCAGCAGCCGGCCGCCUAGACCUCAGGGGUGCCGUAUCUCUGCUGUGAAGUCCUCCCAGAUACGACGACGCCCGGUGGGAGACCGGGCAAGACAGCUGCAGGUCACCCCAGCCAUCACCGACGGGUCUGAAGACCACCUAGGACCCACGCAAUGUGCUCCUGGGGAGCAGACAAGACUCCUGUCCUGCCUGAGACGCACUGGCCUUCCCUGGAGAUGACCAGAGCCAGGACGCCUGGGUGGCUGUAUCGGCCCCACGAGACACCUUCCCCUGGAGUGAGGCUUCUGAGGCCGGGCAAAGGAGACCAGGCCACACAAGGGAGUCCCUGGCACUUGGGCCUCCAGGAGGCUCAGCAGGGCCGAGCUUGCUGGCCAGGCCUGGGAGCAUCCCAGGAGCCCCUCUGAGACAGGGCAGGAGGACUGCUGUCUGUGCACCCCCUCUCCUGGCUGAGGGAAGGGCUCCAUGAGCUUUCUACACGGGCGUCUGGAAGCCCAGCUGCCCCAGGAGCUCCCCUACUGUGGCCCCAGAGCCAGGACUCCAGGUGACCACACAGAGCACUGGGCAAGGGCAGGACAGGCCUGCAGAGGUUUUGGAGGGGAUGGGAA
This is a long non-coding RNA of Mustela lutreola (European mink), 973 nucleotides long. RefSeq lists it as uncharacterized. The record is from RefSeq and is a predicted model, not a curated record. The transcript has 3 exons. Lineage: Eukaryota; Metazoa; Chordata; Mammalia; Carnivora; Mustelidae.